UGGCAGUCCUAUCCAACAGAGACUACUCAAUGCUUAGUGCAAUGCCUGACACUCCACAGAAGGUACUCAUUUUAUAUUUCUUAAAUGUUAAAUGAAUUCAAGGCAUGUUUCUUGCGAGUGAGUCUCCCUGAGUCUCUCUUAGUAGAUGGGAAUGGGAGUCCACCUGGUAGAUGUUGACAUUUCUGGGAGAUUCUACAGGAUAGAAAAUAAGAAAGGGAUUGGACAUAGGAGAGGCGGGGAGGACUCACCAAUUUUAAAGAAACUGUCGCGGGGAAUGCACUUCUACUUUGAGGCAGAUAUGGCCAAGCAAACCGAAGAGUUUGUGUCUCUCUCUGAUGGAGGUAUUUAAUUGUUGGCAUCAUGCUUCCCAGUCUGUUCUUCCCCUGUCUGAGCAAAUUUAGAAGCCCAAGCCAGCAUGGAGGUAUCAUACGGACCUCCCAGACUGUGUGAGCA
Molecule: long non-coding RNA, 453 nt
Filed under: Rhinopithecus bieti (black snub-nosed monkey)
Lineage: Eukaryota; Metazoa; Chordata; Mammalia; Primates; Cercopithecidae
Description: lncRNA (ENSRBIG00000045201.1)
Source: RNAcentral